This 959-nucleotide long non-coding RNA is filed under the name Dermacentor andersoni. RNAcentral describes it as "uncharacterized LOC126531341". Lineage: Eukaryota; Metazoa; Arthropoda; Arachnida; Ixodida; Ixodidae. The record is from RNAcentral.
GAGACCAGGUAGGCCUGUUCCCUGGCCUCCCAACUGCCAGCUCGCAGUUCCAGUGCAGCCUUCUCCUUCUCCAGCAGGUUGUCCUGCUGAUGUCUCCCUGUCUUCUGUCCGUGUUGUACCGCGACACUGGUGGAGGUGCGGGGUACUGACUGCGCCUGAUGCUCCGGAGUCCUUCUGGGAGUCGUUCAUCUAGUCUGGACGCAUUGUCACCAGUUACGAUACCCAUGCAUCGCUUUAGUCGUCGACUGCUAGGCCUUGCCCCAGAGUUGUCCCCUCUUCAACCACCUCUCUCCAGGGGCUCCACACAUCUCGCAAUGGCCGAAACCAGCCUACAACAGACUCGUACUCACCCCAAGGCUGGCCAUUUCUGAUCCAAGGAUAAGCCUCGGUGAAGCAGGGGGUUCUGUUUUGCGCAAGCGGACUCGCUCAGCCAUCUUGGCCACAGGUUGUGCUGCCUGCUCAGCCAAUGGGGAUGCGCUGCCACCUGGAAUCUGACCACAGCUACUCUGGGGACUUGUGGCAACACGUUGCUGGAGGUCACGAAACUGAGGAAGUCAACAGAUACAGCACACUCCAUGUGCUGCCGACGCCAGCAGCUUGGGCUGCGAUAGAAAUGAGAUGACGUCCUGAACAGUAACAGACACGGUCGUCUCAUGGCUUCCUUGAACUUGAUAAGUGCAGCAUCUAGUGAUCUAUAGCUCGUGUUAAAAUGCAUACAGCAUGCACAGUUAUGCUAUAUACGUGCAUAACCUGGAUACACUGCUCUUGAGUUGAACAAUAACCAGACAUUGUCGAAAACAUGUAGGGUCUCCUGCAAGAUAUUCCUCUGUUUACUGGGCUGUGUGAUGUGGUACUGCUGUCAGUGUGGAAUUACGUUCCUGUAUAUGGCCAAAAGGGGUCAGAGUUGUGUAAAGAUCUGCCUUUUGUUCCAAAGCUUUUCAAUAAAGCCACUGUCGUGC